RNAcentral lists this ribosomal RNA (500 nucleotides) under uncultured Glomeromycotina. RNAcentral describes it as "partial small subunit ribosomal RNA". It matches the Rfam family "Eukaryotic small subunit ribosomal RNA", at positions 591 to 1092 of the family's 1831-position model. The record is from RNAcentral. Lineage: Eukaryota; Fungi; Glomeromycota.
CCAAUAGCGUAUAUUAAAGUUGUUGCAGUUAAAAAGCUCGUAGUUGAAUUUCGGGGUUAGUAGGUUGGUCAUGCCUCUGGUAUGUACUGGUCUCACUGAUUCCUCCUUCCUGAUGAGCCGUAAUGCCAUUAAUUUGGUGUUGCGGGGAAUUUGGACUGUUACUUUGAAAAAAUUAGAGCGUUUAAAGCAAGCUAACGCUUGAAUACAUUAGCAUGGAAUAAUGAAAUAGGACGUUCGAUCCUAUUUUGUUGGUUUCUAGGAUUGACGUAAUGAUUAAUAGGGAUAGUUGGGGGCAUUAGUAUUCAAUUGUCAGAGGUGAAAUUCUUGGAUUUAUUGAAGACUAACUACUGCGAAAGCAUUUGCCAAGGAUGUUUUCAUUAAUCAAGAACGAAAGUUAGGGGAUCGAAGACGAUCAGAUACCGUCGUAGUCUUAACCAUAAACUAUGCCGACUAGGGAUCGGAUGAUGUUAAUUUUUUAAUGACUCAUUCGGCGCCUUACG